This 417-nucleotide ribosomal RNA is filed under the name uncultured bacterium. RNAcentral's name for it is "bacterial SSU rRNA". It matches the Rfam family "Bacterial small subunit ribosomal RNA", at positions 30 to 452 of the family's 1533-position model. The record is from RNAcentral.
AUUGAACGCUGGCGGCAUGCCUUACACAUGCAAGUCGAACGGCAGCGGGCCUUCGGGUGCCGGCGAGUGGCGAACGGGUGAGUAAUGCAUCGGAACGUGCCAUUGAGUGGGGGAUAACGUAGCGAAAGUUACGCUAAUACCGCAUAUUCUGUGAGCAGGAAAGCAGGGGACCGCAAGGCCUUGCGCUCUUUGAGCGGCCGAUGUCAGAUUAGCUAGUUGGUGAGGUAAAGGCUUACCAAGGCGACGAUCUGUAGCGGGUCUGAGAGGAUGAUCCGCCACACUGGAACUGAGACACGGUCCAGACUCCUACGGGAGGCAGCAGUGGGGAAUUUUGGACAAUGGGCGCAAGCCUGAUCCAGCCAUGCCGCGUGAGUGAAGAAGGCCUGGUUGUAAGACUCUUCGGUCCGGGAACGGAAA